CCUACGGGUGGCAGCAGUGGGGGAUAUUCCACAAUGGGGGAAACCCUGAUGCAGCGACGCCGCGUGGGCGAAGAAGUAUUUCGGUAUGUAAAGCCCUAUCAUCAGGGAAGAAGAAAUGACGGUGCCUGAGUAAGAAGCACCGGCUAAAUACUUGCCAGCAGCCACGGUAAAUUGUAUGGUGCAAGCGUCAUUCGGAUUUACUGGGUGGAAAGGGAGCGCAGGCGGGACGGCAAGCCCGAUGUGAAAGCCCGCGGCCCAACGGCGGGUCUGCAUUGUGAACUACCGGGCUGGAGUGCCGGAGAGGUAGGCGGAAUUCCGAGUGUAGCGGUGAAAUGCGUAGAUAUUAGGAGGAACACCAGUGGCGAAGGCGGCCUACUGGACGGUGACUGACGCUGAGGCUCGAAAGCGUGGGGAGCAAACAGGAUUAGAUACCCGAGUAGUC
RNAcentral lists this ribosomal RNA (442 nucleotides) under uncultured bacterium. RNAcentral describes it as "partial 16S ribosomal RNA". It matches the Rfam family "Bacterial small subunit ribosomal RNA", at positions 338 to 795 of the family's 1533-position model. The record is from RNAcentral.